This 472-nucleotide ribosomal RNA is filed under the name uncultured bacterium. RNAcentral's name for it is "SSU rRNA". It matches the Rfam family "Bacterial small subunit ribosomal RNA", at positions 26 to 518 of the family's 1533-position model. The record is from RNAcentral.
AGGACGAACGCUGGCGGCGUGCUUAACACAUGCAAGUCGAACGGAAAGGCCCGCUUGCGGGUACUCGAGUGGCGAACGGGUGAGUAUCACGUGGGCAACCUGCCCUCAGCUUCGGGAUAACACUUGGAAACAGGUGCUAAUACCGGAUAAUAACCUUUCAUCGCAUGGUGUGGGGUUCAAAGUUUUUCGGCUGGGGAUGGGCCCGCGGCCUAUCAGCUUGUUGGUGGGGUAAUGGCCUACCAAGGCGACGACGGGUAGCCGGCCUGAGAGGGCGACCGGCCACACUGGGACUGAGACACGGCCCAGACUCCUACGGGAGGCAGCAGUAGGGAAUCUUGCGCAAUGGGCGAAAGCCUGACGCAGCCAUGCCGCGUGAAUGAUGAAGGUCUUAGGAUUGUAAAAUUCUUUCAGCGGGGACGAUAAUGACGGUACCCGCAGAAGAAGCCCGGCUAACGUUCGUGCCAGCAGCCGC